RNAcentral lists this long non-coding RNA (2744 nucleotides) under Sus scrofa (pig). Its description in RNAcentral is "lncRNA (ENSSSCG00065048411.1)". The record is from RNAcentral. Lineage: Eukaryota; Metazoa; Chordata; Mammalia; Artiodactyla; Suidae.
GCUGAAACCAGAAGGGCCCUUGGGAGCCCCCUAGUGCCUGUGGACCAGCGAGGAGGCUGCCUGCUCGAAGGGAAAGGGGAGCCUCAGCUGGAACCCAGACCAUGUGGAGAUUGAUCCACUGAUUGAUUGGUAUAAUGAUUUAUUCAUAGUGUGGGCCAGUUCUGGUUGGUUUCCUUUCGUCCCCCAGCACAGACUCUUAAGUAUAGGGGACUCUUUCACAGAAAACGUGUUUACGUAGGUAAUAUUUUUGUUGUUGUUUUUUGUUUUUUGUCUUUUUAGGACCGCACCUGCAGCAUAGGGAGGUUCCCGGGCUAGGGGUCCAAACGGAGCUGUAGUUGCUGGCCUAUACCACAGCCACAGCAACGCGGGAUCCGAGCCGCCUCUGCAACCUACACCACAGCUUGCAGCAACGUUGGAUCCUUAACCCACUGAGCAAGGCCAGGGAUUGAACCUACAACCUCAUGGUUCCUAGUCGGAUUCGUUUCCACUGCGCCACAAGGGGAACUCCCCAUAGGUAAUAUUUUUAUCAACAUUUUUUCGUUAAAAGUGUAUUCAUUUUACAGGUGUUCGAAUCUCGAGCAGACAGCUAAUAGCAGACAGCUGGGUUCUCAUCCGGGCCUCUGUGGGCUGUUGUAGCAUCACGUGCCCUGGAGCCUCUGAAAAACCCCAGAGAGAAGGAGGGUAAAAAAAGUCACAUAAGGUCUUGCUAUUUAUUAGUGGAUCUCUCGAAAAAAGGUCUCAAGAACCCUCAAAGAUUCCCCUGACCACCCAGAGAACGACCAUACAGGCUUUCCUGUUCCGGAGGAAUGGAAGCAGAAUCAAGCCCAGGAGAGUCCUAGUGGGAAAGAGCAUGCGAGGCUUCUGAAGCUGUGGACUGUUAACAGGUAUUCACUUUUUCAAUUACGCCUUUGGAGCGCCGUAGCCAGUGGAAGCACAGACCUGUGUCCUCUCUGGGUGACAGCUUAUGCACGCCUGUUCUCCAGCUCAGGGCAAGAGUCUGGGGCCGGGGGAAUGGGUGGGGGGCGGCCGCUGCCAUACCGCUGGCCUGGCUGAGGGUCCGCGAAGAGCAUGAGGGUCUUUGCGAAAGCACCCAGGACAACCUGGCUCGUCCUGGCUCAUCCUGUCUCGUGUUUAUGAGCAGGAAACGCGUUCUGACUCCCAGAUGCCUCCUCUUAGCUGUCAGUGGAGCUGACGAAGCCCUGGCCACAAAGUUAGCUCUGAAAAUUUCCGAGCCCAGGAGGAAAGUAGGGCUGUGAUCAAACUGAGUUGUAGAUUUGCCGUUACCCCAAGCAAAUUGACAAUGAAAGGGCAGUUUUCUGUUUUUGGAAAGAUUCAGGGAUGGACCUCCAACCCUCUGGUUGGAAGGGCCCUGGGGCCUGGGUUCCUGGUCCGCCAUUUAGGCCGCUCAUUUGUAUGACCCUGAGUUCUUUGUCCUGGCCAGGCCUUCAUUUCUGCUGUUUGUCAAAUGAGAGAAGCUGGACCAUGUAUUGCUAAGUCCCUGAAACACAAAUAGUGCUGGGAUGGCGUGUGUGACACUGAACCUGGUGUGAAUGGCCACAGUCCUGGGCCCCAAAGCGCCUGGGCUUCUGAGUCAGGCUGCCCCGGUCUGAGGCCUGACCUGCCGCUCACUUGCUGUGUGACCUUGGGCAAGCAUUUCCUGUCCCAGGAGUUAGCAGCUCUCCAUGUACGUGGAAAAAUAAUACUUAAUAGUGAGGAAUUAAUGACUUCACACAUGUAAAAAAAUACAGAAGCCUGUCCCUCCUGUGUUCAAGAGCUAUUGGUUUUCAUCUUGUUUAAUAAAUGAGGGAACAGACUCCAAAAAGAGGGAUGGUCACUUGCCCAAGUCGUACAGCCUGUUAAUGGCAGAACCAAUGCAAUAGUUUCCUGAUAACUGACCCAGGACUUCCCCUCCCCACCCCCGAGACAAUAAAAUGGGAGGAAUCCAGGUCACCUCCCUUUCCCCACCCAGGGUCUGCCAGACAGAUAAACUGAUCGCUGCGGGAGUAUUUAGUACCUGCUAGGUACUAAUUUACAGUUUCAUUUAAUCCUCACUGUAGCUCUCCGGAAGGUAGAAACUGUUAUCCCUCUUUUAGAGAUAAGGGAACGGGCUUAGCAAGAGGAACCUGCCCACGAUCACACACUUAGGAAGCUCUGGAAGGAAGCCUCAAAUCCAAUCCAUUGCCACAGCCAUUCUCUUAAUUACUACACGAUGCCUCCCCCUGCAGGAAGAUUUGGAGUCAAUUAUCCUGGGACUCCAUUUAGCACAAGACUGUUGAGAAGAGAGGAUCAAUGAAAACAUUUCCUUUACUCAGUGUAGCUGAGAAGUGCUGCUGUGUAAAACGGAACUCUCUUAAGAACCAGGUAUUUUGAGUAAAAUAGAUGGAUAUGAAUCCAUCUUUAUGAUGUUUGUAGGAUGGCAGAUGUCAUUAUUUCAAAAAAACGAAAAACAAAAACCCCAUCACCAACGGUAACUUGAUGGGAACAAUCUUUUCCAAACACAAAAUAUUCUUCUUCUUGGGAGAGAUACUUGGCCCAAACAGCUAUUCCAGAGAGAAGACCUACGGAAAAUCUGAUGUGCAGCUGGAAGCCACGGAAUCUUAGUUCAUUGCCAAUAUCACACAGGGAGAGAAAAUUGCCUGCCUUCCCUGGGUUGUGGUUAGAAAAUUAAUCUGAUUCCUAUUGCUCUACAUUUGUAAAAGUGCAGAUUUUAAAAACUAUGAUGAAAGAUAAUAUGAGAAAAAAAA